AGCUUUGUGCUUUGGCAGUAUUGUAGCCAAUGAGGUUUUUUCCGAGGUGCAACUGUUGCUAAUUAAAAACUUAAGAAAAUAUCACACC
Molecule: small nuclear RNA, 88 nt
Filed under: Marmota marmota marmota (Alpine marmot)
Lineage: Eukaryota; Metazoa; Chordata; Mammalia; Rodentia; Sciuridae
Description: U4 spliceosomal RNA (ENSMMMG00000023150.1)
Rfam family: U4 spliceosomal RNA
About the family: U4 small nuclear RNA (U4 snRNA) is a component of the major U2-dependent spliceosome. The structure of U4 snRNA from yeast and human has been reported.
Source: RNAcentral